RNAcentral lists this ribosomal RNA (259 nucleotides) under uncultured fungus. Its description in RNAcentral is "partial 28S ribosomal RNA". It matches the Rfam family "Eukaryotic large subunit ribosomal RNA", at positions 399 to 675 of the family's 3401-position model. The record is from RNAcentral. Lineage: Eukaryota; Fungi.
GUGAAAUUGUUGAAAGGGAAGCGCUUGCAAUCAGACUUGCAUGCAGUUGAUCAUCCGAUGUUCUCACCGGUGCACUCAUCUGCAUUCAGGCCAGCAUCGGUUUUGGUGGUUGGAUAAAGGCCCUGGGAAUGUAGCUUCUUUCGGGGAGUGUUAUAGCCCAAGGUGCAAUGCAGCCUACCAGGACCGAGGACCGCGCUUCGGCUAGGAUGCUGGCGUAAUGGUUGUAAGCGACCCGUCCUGAAACACGGACCAAGGAGUC